This 628-nucleotide ribosomal RNA is filed under the name uncultured soil bacterium. RNAcentral describes it as "bacterial SSU rRNA". It matches the Rfam family "Bacterial small subunit ribosomal RNA", at positions 34 to 676 of the family's 1533-position model. The record is from RNAcentral.
CGCUGGCGGCGUGCCUCAGACAUGCAAGUCGAACGAUUAAAGCUCUCUUCGGAGAGUGCAUAGAGUGGCGCACGGGUGAGUAACACGUAAGUAAUCUACCUUCGAGUGGGGAAUAACAGUCGGAAACGGCUGCUAAUACCGCAUAAUGCAGCGGCAUCGCAAGAUGACAGUUGUUAAAGAUUUAUCGCUUGAAGAGGAGCUUGCGGCAGAUUAGCUAGUUGGUAAGGUAAUGGCUUACCAAGGCUACGAUCUGUAACCGGUCUAAGAGGACGGUCGGUCACACUGACACUGAAUAACGGGUCAGACUCCUACGGGAGGCAGCAGUCGGGAAUUUUGGGCAAUGGGCGAAAGCCUGACCCAGCAACGCCGCGUGAAGGAUGAAGUAUUUCGGUAUGUAAACUUCGAAAGAAUAGGAAGAAUUAAUGACGGUACUAUUUAUAAGGUCCGGCUAACUACGUGCCAGCAGCCGCGGUAAUACGUAGGGACCAAGCGUUGUUCGAAUUUACUGGGCGUAAAGGGCGCGUAGGCGGCAUGACAAGUCACUUGUGAAAUCUCCGGGCUUAACUCGGAACGGCCAAGUGAUACUGUCACGCUAGAGUGCGGAAGGGGCAAUCAGAAUUCUUGGUGU